ACUCCUACGGGAGGCAGCAGUAGGGAAUCUUCCACAAUGGGCGCAAGCCUGAUGGAGCAACACCGCGUGAGUGAAGAAGGGUUUCGGCUCGUAAAGCUCUGUUGUUAAAGAAGAACACGUAUGAGAGUAACUGUUCAUACGUUGACGGUAUUUAACCAGAAAGUCACGGCUAACUACGUGCCAGCAGCCGCGGUAAUACGUAGGUGGCAAGCGUUAUCCGGAUUUAUUGGGCGUAAAGAGAGUGCAGGCGGUUUUCUAAGUCUGAUGUGAAAGCCUUCGGCUUAACCGGAGAAGUGCAUCGGAAACUGGAUAACUUGAGUGCAGAAGAGGGUAGUGGAACUCCAUGUGUAGCGGUGGAAUGCGUAGAUACAUGGAAGAACACCAGUGGCGAAGGCGGCUACCUGGUCUGCAACUGACGCUGAGACUCGAAAGCAUGGGUAGCGAACAGGAUUAGAUACCCUGGUAGGAUAGCG
RNAcentral lists this ribosomal RNA (473 nucleotides) under uncultured bacterium. RNAcentral describes it as "bacterial SSU rRNA". It matches the Rfam family "Bacterial small subunit ribosomal RNA", at positions 335 to 801 of the family's 1533-position model. The record is from RNAcentral.